UAUGUGAUCGUCUCUCGCAUAUCAAUAAGCGGAGGAAAAGAAACUAACAAGGAUUCCCUAGUAACGGCGAGUGAAGCGGGAAGAGCUCAAAUUUGAAAUCUUAAAGGGUUUCCCUUUACGAAUUGUAGUUUAAAGAAGUGUUUUCUGUUGAGGUUUUGGUAAAAGUUCUUUGGAAUAGGACAUCAUAGAGGGUGAGAAUCCCGUAUUUGACCUUUACUUUCAACUUCGUGAUACACUUUCAAAGAGUCGGAUUGUUUGGGAAUGCAGUCCAAAAUGGGUGGUAAAUUUCAUCUAAAGCUAAAUAUUGGCGAGAGACCGAUAGCGAACAAGUACCGUGAGGGAAAGAUGAAAAGAACUUUGAAAAGAGAGUUAAACAGUACGUGAAAUUGUCAAAAGGGAAGCGUUUGACACCAGUGUUGUUUUUCUGAAAAUCAAUUAAAGAACUGUUUAUGCUAAGUUGUUUAGACUUUAUCAGCUAUCUGCUUAGUUUUGAGCUUUUCUUUAAUGCACUUUUCAGUUAACAAGUCAACAUCAAUUUCUUUUGCUGUAAAAAAGCUUGAGGAAGGUGGCUUGAGAUUCGUCUUAAGUGUUUAUAGCCUCUUGCCUAUGCAGUCGGAGAGAUUGAGGUCUGCAGCGUAGAUCCUUCGAGGCUAAAUGCAUUUGUGCUAAGUUAUAGCAUUUUAUAGACAACUUGUUGACUAUGACUUGUCUUGUAGCUUACUCGCUUAUGUUAUUUUACCUACGCUUAGGAUGUUGACGCGCGUGUGUGCGUG
This 773-nucleotide ribosomal RNA is filed under the name uncultured Neocallimastigales. RNAcentral describes it as "partial large subunit ribosomal RNA". It matches the Rfam family "Eukaryotic large subunit ribosomal RNA", at positions 24 to 639 of the family's 3401-position model. Lineage: Eukaryota; Fungi; Neocallimastigomycota; Neocallimastigomycetes; Neocallimastigales. The record is from RNAcentral.